AACGAACGCUGGCGGCAGGCUUAACACAUGCAAGUCGAACGCCCCGCAAGGGGAGUGGCAGACGGGUGAGUAACGCGUGGGAACAUACCUCUCGGUACGGAAUAGCUCAGGGAAACUUGAAUUAAUACCGUAUACGCCGUAUUGGGAAAGAUUUAUCGCCGAGAGAUUGGCCCGCGUUAGAUUAGCUAGUUGGUGGGGUAAUGGCCUACCAAGGCUACGAUCUAUAGCUGAUCUGAGAGGAUGAUCAGCCACACUGGGACUGAGACACGGCCCAGACUCCUACGGGAGGCAGCAGUGGGGACUCUUGGACAAUGGGCGCAAGCCUGAUCCAGCCAUGCCGCGUGAAUGACGAAGGCCUUAGGGUUGUAAAGUUCUUUCACCGGGGAAGAUAAUGACGGUACCCGGAGAAGAAGCCCCGGCUAACUUCGUGCCAGCCGCCGCAGUAA
RNAcentral lists this ribosomal RNA (446 nucleotides) under uncultured bacterium. Its description in RNAcentral is "partial 16S ribosomal RNA". It matches the Rfam family "Bacterial small subunit ribosomal RNA", at positions 29 to 523 of the family's 1533-position model. The record is from RNAcentral.